RNAcentral lists this unclassified non-coding RNA (365 nucleotides) under Hevea brasiliensis (rubber tree). Lineage: Eukaryota; Viridiplantae; Streptophyta; Magnoliopsida; Malpighiales; Euphorbiaceae. The record is from RNAcentral.
GGAAAUAAUUGGAGCAGCGGUAUGCAGUUUAUGCUUUGUAGUCUUGUCAGCUUUGUGCUUGCAGACUUAAGUAAUAGAAUUUUGAAACCUUUGUUUUCAGUUAUGUAUAAGUUGUGUUUUGGUUUGUUAGAUCUUCUUUGGUUGCUUUUAAUAGCAACAAGAAAUAACCAGACAUUGGACCAUCAUAGCAUCUCCUUCAAGUCACAUGCAUCAUAAGUUUGCUUACCUCUGAAGUUUAUGCUGCUUGUCUCAAAGAAUUUCUCUUUCAUGCUUCAGGUCAAGAGGAAGAAAGCUUCACAUGCUGGAAUGUUUGACAUUGCAAAAACAGCAAAUAGACCUAUGAUACAUAUUGGUGGCUAAGACCU